Molecule: ribosomal RNA, 253 nt
Filed under: uncultured bacterium
Lineage: Bacteria
Description: partial 16S ribosomal RNA
Rfam family: Bacterial small subunit ribosomal RNA
Source: RNAcentral
UACGGGGGGGGCAAGCGUUGUUCGGAAUUACUGGGCGGAAAGGGCGCGUAGGCGGCCUGCUAAGUCGGAUGUGAAAUCCCUCGGCUCAACCGAGGAACUGCAUCCGAUACUGGCGGGCUUGAAUCCGGGAGAGGGAUGUGGAAUUCCAGGUGUAGCGGUGAAAUGCGUAGAUAUCUGGAGGAACACCGGUGGCGAAGGCGGCAUUCUGGACUGUAACUGACACUGAUGAACGAAAGCCAGGGGAGCAAACGGG